Molecule: ribosomal RNA, 253 nt
Filed under: uncultured bacterium
Lineage: Bacteria
Description: partial 16S ribosomal RNA
Rfam family: Bacterial small subunit ribosomal RNA
Source: RNAcentral
UACGAAGGGGGCAAGCGUUGUCCGGAAUUAUUGGGCGUAAAGAGCUCGUAGGCGGCUUGUCACGUCGGAUGUGAAAGCCCGGGGCUUAACCCCGGGUCUGCAUUCGAUACGGGCUAGCUAGAGUGUGGUAGGGGAGAUCGGAAUUCCUGGUGUAGCGGUGAAAUGCGCAGAUAUCAGGAGGAACACCGGUGGCGAAGGCGGAUCUCUGGGCCAUUACUGACGCUGAGGAGCGAAAGCGUGGGGAGCGAACAGG